Molecule: long non-coding RNA, 509 nt
Organism: Panicum virgatum (switchgrass)
Lineage: Eukaryota; Viridiplantae; Streptophyta; Magnoliopsida; Poales; Poaceae
Exons: 3
Source: RefSeq, a predicted model, not a curated record
GUACCUGUAAUUAUAAGUUUAGUAUACGCUUACACCUUACACAUGUAUUACACCUUACAUUCUCUUUUCCCUUUUCCCUUCCAUUCUCUGCAUGUACACUUAUGCUCUCUCUUUUUAUUAUUUUGUUUCUCAACAGGUACUGAAAAUUCUCGUAUUUGGUUGAGAUCUAAACUAGGCAUAAGGCAUAAGGCAUUUUGAAGUCUUUUACCAGAAUCCGCUCGACCGCAUCAUCAAUCCGAGACAUAGGUACCUCCCCUGUCUCCACCAAGAACACUAGAUCCUCAAGAAACUCCUCAAAUCUGUAAGGUAGUGGAAAUGGAUCCUACGGACAACCAAGACGAGUUAAUGCACGAGCUCAUUCAUGGUAGUACUGGGCACAUAGCUCCAGAGUUUGAUGAGGACGAGAACGAUGGCAGCCAAUUUUUAAACUUGCAUUAUCAUGGCGACGAGGAGCAAGAUAUUAGUGGGGAGGAAGAAGGAAAUGUCGAGGAAGCCGAGGUAUAAAAGUU